Molecule: ribosomal RNA, 253 nt
Filed under: uncultured bacterium
Lineage: Bacteria
Description: partial 16S ribosomal RNA
Rfam family: Bacterial small subunit ribosomal RNA
Source: RNAcentral
GACAGAGGGUGCAAACGUUGCUCGGAAUUACUGGGCGUAAAGCGUGCGCAGGCGGCUUUGCAAGACAGAUGUGAAAUCCCCGGGCUUAACCUGGGAACUGCAUUUGUGACUGCAUGGCUGGAGUGUGGCAGAGGGGGGUGGAAUUCCGCGUGUAGCAGUGAAAUGCGUAGAGAUGCGGAGGAACACCGAUGGCGAAGGCAGCCCCCUGGGCUAACACUGACGCUCAGGCACGAAAGCGUGGGGAGCAAACAGG